CCCUUAGAUGUUCUGGGCCGCACACGCGCUACACUGAAGGAGGCAGCGUGUACUCCUGGAUCGAAAGAUUUGGGUAACCCGCGAAUCUCCUUCGUGCUAGGGAUUGAGGUUUGCAAUUAUCCUUCAUGAACGAGGAAUUCCCAGUAAGUGCAAGUCAUAAGCUUGCGCUGACUACGUCCCUGCCCUUUGUACACACCGCCCGUCGCUACUACCGAUUGAAUGAUUUAGUGAGGACUUCGGACUGGGACCGAUGCGGCUUUCGGGCUGCGUCGGUAUUCUGGAAAGAUGUCCAGACUGUAUCAUUUAGAGGAAGUAAAAGUCGUAACA
Molecule: ribosomal RNA, 327 nt
Filed under: uncultured eukaryote
Lineage: Eukaryota
Description: partial 18S ribosomal RNA
Rfam family: Eukaryotic small subunit ribosomal RNA
Source: RNAcentral